This 497-nucleotide ribosomal RNA is filed under the name uncultured bacterium. Its description in RNAcentral is "partial 16S ribosomal RNA". It matches the Rfam family "Bacterial small subunit ribosomal RNA", at positions 28 to 507 of the family's 1533-position model. The record is from RNAcentral.
GAUGAACGCUGGCGGCGUGCCUAAUACAUGCAAGUCGAGCGAACGGACGAGAAGCUUGCUUUUCUGAUGUUAGCGGCGGACGGGUGAGUAACACGUGGAUAACCUACCUAUAAGACUGGGAUAACUUCGGGAAACCGGAGCUAAUACCGGAUAAUAUUUUGAACCGCAUGGUUCAAAAGUGAAAGACGGUCUUGCUGUCACUUAUAGAUGGAUCCGCGCUGCAUUAGCUAGUUGGUAAGGUAACGGCUUACCAAGGCAACGAUGCAUAGCCGACCUGAGAGGGUGAGCGGCCACCCUAGAAAUGAGACGAGGUCCAGACUCCUACGGGAGGCGGCAGUAGGGAAUCUUCCGCAAUGGGCGAAAGCCUGACGGGGCAACGCCGCGUGAGUGAUGAAGGUCUUCGGAUCGUAAAACUCUGUUAUUAGGGAAGAACAUAUGUGUAAGUAACUGUGCACAUCUUGACGGUACCUAAUCAGAAAGCCACGGCUAACUACGUG